Small nucleolar RNA from Cavia aperea (Brazilian guinea pig), 113 nucleotides. NCBI's taxonomy places the organism in Eukaryota, Metazoa, Chordata, Mammalia, Rodentia, Caviidae. The record is from Ensembl.
UCCACCUUCUAAUAGCCACCACAUUGUUAUGGACAGGUGCAAAAUGAAACCUUGUUUUGAAACCCAGAACUCAUUGUUCAGUAUGAGUUUUGUUAUGCUUAGGAAGGACUAUU